RNAcentral lists this ribosomal RNA (484 nucleotides) under uncultured bacterium. Its description in RNAcentral is "partial 16S ribosomal RNA". It matches the Rfam family "Bacterial small subunit ribosomal RNA", at positions 30 to 507 of the family's 1533-position model. The record is from RNAcentral.
AUUGAACGCUGGCGGCAGGCCUAACACAUGCAAGUCGAGCGGAUGAAGGGAGCUUGCUCCUGGAUUCAGCGGCGGACGGGUGAGUAAUGCCUAGGAAUCUGCCUGGUAGUGGGGGAUAACGUCCGGAAACGGGCGCUAAUACCGCAUACGUCCUGAGGGAGAAAGUGGGGGAUCUUCGGACCUCAGGCUAUCAGAUGAGCCUAGGUCGGAUUAGCUAGUUGGUGGGGUAAAGGCCUACCAAGGCGACGAUCCGUAGCUGGUCUGAGAGGAUGAUCAGUCACACUGGAACUGAGACACGGUCCAGACUCCUACGGGAGGCAGCAGUGGGGAAUAUUGGACAAUGGGCGAAAGCCUGAUCCAGCCAUGCCGCGUGUGUGAAGAAGGUCUUCGGAUUGUAAAGCACUUUAAGUUGGGAGGAAGGGCAGUAAGUUAAUACCUUGCUGUUUUGACGUUACCAACAGAAUAAGCACCGGCUAACUUCGUG